AGCAGCACGCACUAUUGUGCCUUCAUGUUCAAGGACCUUUAGAGCAUUAACCAGUGGUUAAUCUUCCCUCAUCAAACCCAUGCAUUUCAGAGAAAAACAAGCAGUCAAGUCUGGAAUAAUAACAUCUGGCUGGAAGCUGUCUUGCUGGGGGAACUAGUUAGUAAUGAAUGACACAGCCUUAUAUCUCUCAUCUGCUGAUUUGUAAACACCCCGGACACAGAGCAGCCUUGAGGAAGAAGAUGAAAACACGUGAAUAAGACACCUGAAUCCUACCAGGUAGAAGGAAAUAACUGUUUGUGGCUCAUGCUAUCA
This 312-nucleotide long non-coding RNA is filed under the name Anas platyrhynchos platyrhynchos (common mallard). RNAcentral's name for it is "lncRNA (ENSAPLG00000021263.1)". The record is from RNAcentral. Lineage: Eukaryota; Metazoa; Chordata; Aves; Anseriformes; Anatidae.